This 425-nucleotide ribosomal RNA is filed under the name uncultured bacterium. Its description in RNAcentral is "partial 16S ribosomal RNA". It matches the Rfam family "Bacterial small subunit ribosomal RNA", at positions 354 to 796 of the family's 1533-position model. The record is from RNAcentral.
GUGGGGAAUAUUGGACAAUGGGCGAAAGCCUGAUCCAGCAAUGCCGCGUGAGUGAAGAAGGCCUUAGGGUUGUAAAGCUCUUUUACCCGGGAUGAUAAUGACAGUACCGGGAGAAUAAGCUCCGGCUAACUCCGUGCCAGCAGCCGCGGUAAUACGGAGGGAGCUAGCGUUGUUCGGAAUCACUGGGCGUAAAGCGCACGUAGGCGGCUUUGUAAGUUAGAGGUGAAAGCCCGGGGCUGAACUCCGGAACUGCCUUUAAGACUGCAUCGCUUGAAUCUGGGAGAGGUGAGUGGAAUUCCGAGUGUAGAGGUGAAAUUCGUAGAUAGUCGGAAGAACACCAGUGGCGAAGGCGACUCACUGGCCCAAUACUGACGCUGAGGCGCGAAAGCGUGGGGAGCAAACAGGAUUAGAAACCCUGGUAGUCC